Molecule: long non-coding RNA, 1990 nt
Organism: Toxorhynchites rutilus septentrionalis
Lineage: Eukaryota; Metazoa; Arthropoda; Insecta; Diptera; Culicidae
Exons: 3
Source: RefSeq, a predicted model, not a curated record
UACCAGUGUUGUGGAACUAAUUCUGUGAUGCAAGUUUCUGCUCAAAGAGAAGCAAUGGUCACAGGUGCACGAUGUCAUCAUUUAGCAUAUUGCCACGGACUGUGUUAUUAACGGCAACAUCCCUUAUCUGAAAUAAUUAUUGAACGAGUUCGGGGAUGUCAAACAAAUCUUCAAUCGGUUCAUGGAGGGGUGGAUUUCGAGCGGCUUUAUCGAGCUGGAUGAGAAGUUUGACCUGACCGGCGACGCGAUCGACGACGAGACCAAGGCACUCCAGCCAAAACAGUCAGAUAUGUGCUCUGUGGUCUAAAUGUUCCAAUGCCCGACGCCAAAGCAUCGGUUCUGUCAGAACGAAAUUCCAGCUUAUCUGAUUCGGUCAUUCUUUGCCCCGGAUCCGCGUACUGAUAGCUGUGAUGCGAAUUGGUCUCGAGAAGCUGCCCAUGCCCCAGGAUUACGUGCUCGAGGAAUUGCGGUAUAUGUUGAGCUCGUUCUUCGACGAGGAUCAGCGGAAGCAGCAAUGGAAUAGUGUUUGAACGAAUUAUGUUAUUUUAUUCGUAAUUUGUUUACUGUAUUAAUGAAAUAAAAAAAAACUCUAGAAUGAAUGGAUGUGUAUACAUUCUCUUGUAGGUAAAUUCCAAAAUAAUCACAGGAAGUGAACACAUUAUACAUAUAAAUAAAUAGUGCCUCUGGCUUGUAACGGAAUGUUAUUAUUAUUGGUUCUACAAAUUGCACUUUUAUCUAACCGUGUUUCUGAGACUGUUGAAAAAUUAUGUGGCAACAGAGCGUGUGAAAUAAAUCAUACUAUUCGUGUAUGCUUGGAAACGAAAUAAUUAUGUCUAUGAAUGAAUAAACCGCAGCUGGACUAAAGUUAGUUUUUUAAACGUAUUCUGAAGUGGGGCGGAAGUAUUCACGAUAGGUACGGUAAGAACGCCGUUAUGAUGCAGGAUGUGUGUAAUGUCCGUGAGGCCUGGUCUCACUUUGAUCAUGCUCAUGGUGUGCUACACUCCAACAUUCGGCCUUAUGUGAUUUCCAAGGAACAAACAUAUGAGAACUAGGAUUGGGCGAUCUUGGAUCGAUUUUCAGAAGAUCGAUCUUUUCCAUUUCGAUUUCCGAUUUUUUGAAUCGAUUCAUUGUACCCGAAAAAAUCGCAAAGAUCGAUCUUUUGCUUUCGAUUUUUUUCGAUCCUAGAGUUUUUAGUACAUCGAUUUUAAUCCCAUCUGACAAAUUUUAUAAUCAUUUGAAUAACUUUCGAGGAUGUCAAAUUAGUAAUAGUGAAUAGGAUUGGGCGAUCUUGGAUCGAUGUUUAGAAGAUCGAUCUUUUUCUCUCCGAUUUCCGAUUUUUCGGUCGAUGCUUCCUACUGAAAGAAAAAAAAUCGUGAAAAUCUAUCUUUUCUUCCGAACUUUCUGAUCGUAGAAAACAAAAUAUUGUAAAUUUGUUUUUCAGAGAACAUUGAUUCUUACCAAAAACCGCUUGACAAAUUCAUAAACAUUGGAUCCCUUUCAAUGUCAUUGAAUUAGUGGUCGUAAAUUUAGGAGAAGCAGUUUUGUAAGUUUGGUCAUUACCAAACAAGUGGUCACAAGUUAUAUUUACACCAUCAUAUUCACUAGGCUGACAGUAAAAAUUGUGACGAAAUGGGAUGUUGACAUCAGAUCCGACUGAAGCGUUCUUUACUAGAACUGGGACUGUUGCCAAUAUUUCGACUAAAUGCCAAGCGUAUUAAACGAUUUGAUUCAACGGGAUUAUCGUCAGCGGAGUUCUAGAUGAAUAUCGGUUGUUGAAUUUCUAAUAAUAAUUUUCAAUUAAUUUAUUCAAUUAAAUAAUUCCAUGACGGUUCAAGAUGAAUGCCCUGCAAAAUCCUUUUUUCAGCACUUUCCUGUUUUUUGUGACCUUCAUUCUGAGAAUCAAACUGAAAUGCCUUUGAUGUUUGAAUAGAAAUAUAAAAUGGUUAUUUCAUGUUUAAAGAAAAGACAAUACUUAUAUAGAACAAGUAAA